This 74-nucleotide transfer RNA is filed under the name Desulfurispirillum indicum S5. It matches the Rfam family "tRNA". From Rfam's summary of the family: Transfer RNA (tRNA) molecules are approximately 80 nucleotides in length. Their secondary structure includes four short double-helical elements and three loops (D, anti-codon, and T loops). Lineage: Bacteria; Pseudomonadati; Chrysiogenota; Chrysiogenia; Chrysiogenales; Chrysiogenaceae. The record is from Rfam by way of RNAcentral.
CGGAGUGUAACUCAGCCUGGUAGAGUACACCGUUCGGGACGGUGAAGCCGGAGGUUCGAAUCCUCUCACUCCGA